Long non-coding RNA from Bolinopsis microptera, 445 nucleotides. RefSeq lists it as uncharacterized. The transcript has 4 exons. The record is from RefSeq and is a predicted model, not a curated record. Lineage: Eukaryota; Metazoa; Ctenophora; Tentaculata; Lobata; Bolinopsidae.
AUGUCUAUGGAACUGCGUUAACAACAACAUUACAUAACAAGAUGAUAGGAUUGGUGGUACUUCUUCUUUGCCCAAAUAUUUCUGAAGGGAGCAUACACCGAUGCUGCUUCACAGCGGACAUACGAACAUCGGGGGCUGUAUUAAGUGAAAGUACUUACUCCUCGGAAGAACACUGCAUGAAAUUUUGUAUACAAACGGCGGGCUGUAUGGCAGCGGUAACUAGUCCAGACUCUUGGGCUACGAGAGCAUGUUAUGCUAUCGGGGACUACACUCUGUUCAAUGGAGAGUGGUUGGGCCACAGCUGAAAGAGAAUGCUUCGACACAACUUCCCUUGACACACCCCCCUUCAACCAACAUUAACUUUUGAGUUUAGUUUAGUAGAUACGAAUGGUCAAAUUGUUGGCGCUGGAAUUACUGCGUACGGGUUGCUGAUAGUCAAUGGAGG